GACAAAUUGGCGCCAUUUUGAAGCCGAGAGGAGGAUCACAGCCGUAGAGGGAAAGACGAUUGGCUACAAUUCAUCAAAUAAGGAUCGACAGUGCCGAGGUUGGACCACAGUGAGAACGAGGAUAUCACAGUCAUGAAGAGUCUGGCUGCACAGGACGACGACAGCAAGCCCUGCAGGUGACGCAAACAACGGACAGCCGCUUACAGCGAGGACGACAAGGCAGGCCAGGAGGCCAAGCCCAAACGUGGGGGAGGAGCCGUGGGAGACACCACCCUGGAAAUGAAAGACGAACAGAACAAUCAUCCGAAAAGAGGUCGCAGGAGACGGCCCCCAAGGUACCAUUUUGUUUUUUGACCCCGGUUGCCUUAUUUUAAUGGGGAAGUUCAGGAUUUUACACCUUAAUUUUUAGUGGCCCAUAGACAAAUACAGUGUGAGGAACCAUCUUUAUCAAGUUGUAAAAUCCUGAACUUACCGCUUAAUGGUUGCUAUCCAACUUAUCUUCAACACAGCUCACAUAAUUUAUCAGAUCUCACAAUACUCAGAGAAGUGUUUAUACAGACCAUCUUUAUAGCGCCACUGCUAUAAAGAUGGUCUGGAAUGCAACCAAUGUUUACAACAAGACUGUGGGUCUUGUUGCGGUUGUUUGAUCUGUUCUUGUACUUAAUACUUUUACUCUAUAAAGUGUUCAUGGAAGUUAGUUGUAAUAAAAUGUAUUAUUAUGAUCAAUAUUGAGGCUGCUGUGCAUAAUAAUGACACACUUACCAAGGACAUGAGGGGCCGGAAGAAGGCUGCUUGUCAAGCUUAGGAGGAAGAGGAGCAGGGGGAGGAGGAAGAUGGCAGCAGUGAGAACAUGGAAGUGAAGCCCACGGUGCAGAGAGGAGGCAGGGUACCACGGAGGUCGCAGCAGAGACUGGAGGCCACAGACGACUGCAGAAUCCACGCCACAGAAAAGAUGGGGGAGACCUCCCAAAGCACAGCAACAUACAGCCAUGAAAAAUAUGCACACAGGACGUUUGAGUAAAGAGAACGAGUCCGAGGUGGAGGAGAUGGAGAUGUCUCGGAGCCAGGAAGAGGAGGAGAGCAAGACCACAACCAAAGUGCGAUGGAAGAUGGGCAGGAGAAGAUGAGACGGAGAUCAUGUUUUUUUCUCCAAGGUCAGGAGGCCCGUGACCACGAGGACAAGAACAAGAACAGAUGGAGAGGAGCUGUACAUCGAUCGCCUAGGCGAUUUGCAUUUUAUUGUGCAUGUGCAAAGGUGCCUCUGUGACAAAUCCAAAAUUAAAUCAAGUAUUUGGUCCA
This is a long non-coding RNA of Oncorhynchus gorbuscha (pink salmon), 1299 nucleotides long. RefSeq lists it as uncharacterized. The transcript is spliced from 5 exons. NCBI's taxonomy places the organism in Eukaryota, Metazoa, Chordata, Actinopteri, Salmoniformes, Salmonidae. The record is from RefSeq and is a predicted model, not a curated record.